UUACUAUCAAGUGUUUCAAAUUACAUUAUUUCAAGUGGGUAAUCUGAUGAGUUUUAUAUUUGCAAAAGUAAUCUUAUUCCAAUUAUCCAUAUCCACAGUUCUGAAGAUGCAGACCACCUGGACACAGAAGUGACCUCAAAUCCUUUGUUGAUAUACAUAAACUCCAAGAAGAACCAACCAACCAACCAACCAACCCAAUCUAGUUUUGUUCCAGAGUUCACAGUAUAAGGAAAAGAGAAACAUGUAAGUAAGGGGAACAAAACGAAGAGUGAGAAAACAUUUCCGUGAAGAAAGCAUU
RNAcentral lists this long non-coding RNA (298 nucleotides) under Homo sapiens (human). RNAcentral describes it as "HSALNT0086683". The record is from RNAcentral. Lineage: Eukaryota; Metazoa; Chordata; Mammalia; Primates; Hominidae.